GAUGAAGAACGUAGCGAAAUGCGAUAAGUAAUGUGAAUUGCAGAAUUCAGUGAAUCAUCGAAUCUUUGAACGCACCUUGCACCCUUUGGCAUUCCGAAGGGUAUGCUCGUUUGAGUGUCAUUGUACUCUCACACUUCCGAUCUUUGGAUUGGGAGCGGUGGACUUGGGUGUUGCUGCUUACUGUGGCUCACCUCAAAUCGAUUCGUGCACCUCUUGGUUGGACAUAGUACGGCGUGAUAAGUGUCUUCGCCGGCACCUCAGUAGAGGGUGGCUGAUCAGGAGCUCUGUGCUUCAAACCGUCCUCGGACAACAACUGACAACUUGACCUCAAAUCGAGUAGGACUACCCGCUGAACUUAAGCAUAUCAAUAAGCGGAGGA
RNAcentral lists this unclassified non-coding RNA (379 nucleotides) under soil metagenome. RNAcentral describes it as "partial contains 5.8S ribosomal RNA, internal transcribed spacer 2, and large subunit ribosomal RNA". The stretch from base 1 to 120 matches the Rfam family "5.8S ribosomal RNA", at positions 35 to 154 of the family's 154-position model. The record is from RNAcentral.